GGCGUGUGACUGCGUACCUUUUGUAUAAUGGGUCAGCGACUUAUAUUCUGUAGCAAGGUUAACCGAAUAGGGGAGCCGAAGGGAAACCGAGUCUUAACUGGGCGUUAAGUUGCAGGGUAUAGACCCGAAACCCGGUGAUCUAGCCAUGGGCAGGUUGAAGGUUGGGUAACACUAACUGGAGGACCGAACCGACUAAUGUUGAAAAAUUAGCGGAUGACUUGUGGCUGGGGGUGAAAGGCCAAUCAAACCGGGAGAUAGCUGGUUCUCCCCGAAAGCUAUUUAGGUAGCGCCUCGUGAAUUCAUCUCCGGGGGUAGAGCACUGUUUCGGCAAGGGGGUCAUCCCGACUUACCAACCCGAUGCAAACUGCGAAUACCGGAGAAUGUUAUCACGGGAGACACACGGCGGGUGCUAACGUCCGUCGUGAAGAGGGAAACAACCCAGACCGCCAGCUAAGGUCCCAAAGUCAUGGUUAAGUGGGAAACGAUGUGGGAAGGCCCAGACAGCCAGGAUGUUGGCUUAGAAGCAGCCAUCAUUUAAAGAAAGCGUAAUAGCUCACUGGUCGAGUCGGCCUGCGCGGAAGAUGUAACGGGGCUAAACCAUGCACCGAAGCUGCGGCAGCGACGCUGAUGCGUUGUUGGGUAGGGGAGCGUUCUGUAAGCCUG
Molecule: ribosomal RNA, 663 nt
Filed under: Escherichia coli
Lineage: Bacteria; Pseudomonadati; Pseudomonadota; Gammaproteobacteria; Enterobacterales; Enterobacteriaceae
Description: partial 23S ribosomal RNA
Rfam family: Bacterial large subunit ribosomal RNA
Source: RNAcentral